Molecule: long non-coding RNA, 2125 nt
Organism: Seriola aureovittata
Lineage: Eukaryota; Metazoa; Chordata; Actinopteri; Carangiformes; Carangidae
Exons: 3
Source: RefSeq, a predicted model, not a curated record
UUGCAGUAUUUGUGUUAACAUUGAAUCUAUAAGUGUAAAGUAAUGUUAAAACCUGUAGAAGCACAAUCUAAAUACAAUAUUUACUGAUUCAGAUCAAUUUUCUUACAUUUUUCAUAAAAUAUAAUAAACUGAAGAAAUGCAAAUUAAACUGUUAAGUCUCUGUAUGUAGUCUUUCAACUAAAGUGGGGUUGGAAACUUAAUUACAAAUAACAUACGCACCACUAUUGACUUUAUAACACUUUUAUUUAAUAUAUUCAGAUGUAAAUUUACAAUAUCAACCAAUUAUUCACAAAUAGUUCUUCAGAGCCCCGGGAUGAUCUGAAGAACUAAAACUGGCAUUUCUCCAUUGGUCUAUCUGCCUGUUAAGGUUCCUAUAAUGAGGAGGUGAUGACGUCACCUCUGAAAGAGGGGGGCUGUGGAGCUGAGGGGGGGGUCUGUUGUUUUUUAGCUUGUAUCUUCUAAUUCAGUUUGAUCUUGUUUUCCACAGUAUUCUCCAUAUAGUUCUGACAACAUAUGUGGACAAACAUUAAACUAUCUUUUAUGUCAGAAUCCAACUAUACAGUGUAUUAAUAAGUCAAAUCAAAACAUCCCACAAAGAUCAAUGAAUCUUUACCAGAAGUGACGGAGCAACGGAGCAGAUGAAGAAAAAUCCACCUUCAAACUGCCAGUAAUCAGCUGGAUCCUUGGAUCAUCUGGGGAAAGAAAUAACAGCCUAAAGAUGUUGUUUAAUACUUUUAUCAUAUAUUAUUAUUAUCAUCCCCAUAUAAGAUGUUUUACCCUCCUCUUCCCCUUUUAAAAAUGUGCCGCAGUAACACGUUUACUCAGAGUACAUCACCUUUCAUCACCAGCAGUGAGGGACCGUUUACGUGAUGACGUCACUGUAGCGUCUCCUCGCCAGUCUCUGGAGUUUCUGUUACCGGUAGAGUUUAUUGCUGCUCUAUCUGAACACAGUUAAUGUUGUUGUUUUCUUCAUUACAGUGACUAACUACCUGCUGUACAUUUAAACUGAGCAGUUCUGCUCCAGCACCCACAGCUCUCUGCUGCUUAUAGCGACUUUCACUGAUUCAGCUUUUGUUUACAUGCUGUUUAGAACUGAUUGUUACUUUAGCUUAGCAGUUAGCUCUGGCUUCUCUCUCUCUCUUGCUCAGUGUCUCAGACCAACAAAUUAACUUGUUCAUAAGAGUGUUGUGUUUUUAUAUCUUCAGAAUAUUGGAUUGUGAUGUUUAUUACAGCUUCAGUGAUGUUUGCUGUCAUGCUGUGGACGCUAAUCUAAUGACGUUUGGUUUGUGUUUCUCCACGUGACCCAGUUUAAUUGACCUGCGUUAGUGUAAUGAGCAGCGUUAAUGUUAGUUAAUACAUUGUCCAUCAAGAUGACGUGAUAGUUCAAGUUAAAAUAACGUGACGUUUACAAAAUGUGUAGACAGAUAUUUGUCAUAUAGAAGAUUGUUCAUUUAAUAUUCAAACCAGUCCUGAACUGAAGCAGACAUUCAUGCACCUGUCCUGACAGCUGAUCGAUAUUUGUGAUUAACUGUGAUCCACCGCAUCUUAACUCAAGUGUUUGUGUUUUAUUGUCAUUUGAAAGUUUCCACACUGUGAAAACUGAGUGAUCUGUGCCAACAGAAGGAGGAGCUCAUGUACAGAGCAGCACAUUAGUUUCCAUUCAUCUGGUUGAAGGGAGACUGCAUGGACAUCCUUAGUUCUCUAAUGUGCUGUGAUGAUGAUGAUGAUGAUGAUGAUGAUGAUGAUGAUGAUGAUGAUGGUAGAAAACCUCCCAGUUCAUCUUCCUCUGAUGAAAUGACAGACUAACUGCUGAUGAGUUAGUUUAUUAUUCUGUCUUCAGUAUUCACAGGUUCAGUUUCUUACCUGCAGCUUCAUUCUGCUGUUGUUGACAGGAGGUCAACUGGAAUCAGCUGUACAACCAUUGCAAUCACUCACCUGCUCCUCAUCUCACAAUCAAGCCACCUAAACUGCUGCAGGAUAAAAGACCAGUUCAUUCUUCCACUCCUCGCCAGAUCGUCCGUUACCCACCCGUGUUCCUGUGUCCUGCUUUCUGGCUCCGUUCCUCUCAUCAACCAGCUCUGCUUCAGCUACUCACCUUCUGGAAACUCCGCAGCCUGGAUCCACC